GAUAAGGUGACUGAAGUUUAGGUGGUAAAUUGUAAAUUUAUUUAUGGUCUAUAGACCCCUUAUCA
This 65-nucleotide transfer RNA is filed under the name Eurygaster testudinaria. RNAcentral's name for it is "tRNA-Tyr". Lineage: Eukaryota; Metazoa; Arthropoda; Insecta; Hemiptera; Scutelleridae. The record is from RNAcentral.